GAUGAACGCUAGCGGUAUGCCUAAUACAUGCAAGUCGAACGGGAACUGAGGGUAGCUUGCUACCCGAUUUGAGAGCGGCGCACGGGUGCGUAACGCGUGAGCAACCUACCCAUAUCAGGGGGAUAGCCCGAAGAAAUUCGGAUUAACACCGCAUAAUAAUAAGCUAACACAUGUACAUGUAUUUAAAUAUUUAUAGGAUAUGGAUAGGCUCGGGUGACAUUAGCUAGGUGGUAAGGUAACGGCUUACCAAGGCGACGAUGUAUAGGGGGACUGAGAGGGGAGUACACAGCACUGGUACUGGGAGACGGACCAGACUCGUACGGGAGGCAGCAGUAGGGAAUAUUGGUCAAUGGGCGCAAGUCUGACCCAGCCAUGCCGCGUGAGGGAUGACUGUCCUAUGGGUUGUAAACUGCAUUUGUAGGGGAAUAAUCCUUCUUACGUGUAAGGAGCUGAAUGUACCUUAAGAAUAAGGAUCGGCUAACUCCGUGCCAGCAGCCGCCGUAA
Molecule: ribosomal RNA, 504 nt
Filed under: uncultured bacterium
Lineage: Bacteria
Description: partial 16S ribosomal RNA
Rfam family: Bacterial small subunit ribosomal RNA
Source: RNAcentral